CCUGGUGAAGUUAGGAAGUACCACGUUGAUUUGUGGAGUGAAAGCAGAACUUGCUGCACCUGCAGCAGAUUCUGCUAAUAAGGGAUAUAUUGUUGCCUGCUUUUUUGAUACCUAGUACCAAAUGUAGAACUGCCAUCCCUCUGUUCAGAGAGGUUUCGCUCCGGACCACCUGGUGAAGAGGCUCAAGCAGCGAGCCAGUUCAUUGCAGAUGUGAUUGAAAAAUGAUAGUGAAAGAAGAUCUGUCUAUUGCAAAUGGCAAGUACAACUGCCAUCGGUUAUUAUAAAUGAAGAAACUGGUUUAUCAGAAGUGAAUUUAAAACAGAAGACUCCUUUGAUUAUCAGAAAGCAUCCAGUUGCCUCAUCAUUUGGUGUAUUUGAUGAUACUCGUUGAUCCAACUGCUGAAGAAGAUUUAGCAACUGGAACAGUAACCAUUGUCACUGAUGAAGAAGGCAGAUUAUGUUCUGUCCAUAAACCAGGUGGAAGUCUUCUUACAGGAGCCAAGCUUCAGGACUGUAUCACCAGAGCAAUUACAAGACACAAAGAAGUAAAUAGGCUGAUAGACAAAGUAAUAAAAAGUAUAAUGCCCAAGUGAACAAAAGGAGAGAGCUUUUCAAAAAUGGAUUUGUAAAAAUUGUAUUUGUUACAGUGUUCACAAACCUUUUAUACUAAAUAAACAAAUACCAACACUACCUUUACAAAGUUCAUUUUUUCUAAAAUGUUUUUCACCCUAUGUACAGAGCUGUUGAGUGGUAAAAAAUACAAGAUAAAACAUUCUGUUAAAAAAUUGACUUAAGGAAACCAGAUCCUGGCUGCUUUAUAGAUGAAAUUUCUAGGUUCUGUAGGGCUGGCUUCCAAAAUCAGUUCAUUUUUUUAGUGUAAUGUCAAAAGUUAAUUUUCCCACCAGUAAUAAAAACCACUGAUUUAACUUUAAGCUUUCUCCUUAUUAAUCUGAAAAAAAUCCCCUUUGAACCAAUUUUUUGGGGAGGAGGCAAGUCUCAUGAUUUUGGAGGGGCUGGUGUGCCUCUUUUCCUUUUACUUUUUGAGUGGCUGCCUGAAUGCUGUUGAUGAUGCAGGUGAGCUGCUUGUGCUGCUGCCGUUGCCAUAGCCAUUUGAUGCUGCAAGAAUCGCAACUGCUGCCAUGAAGGAGGAGGAGAAAAAGCUUGUUAGUGUUGACUAUAAAGCUUUCAUGUCAGGAAGAAUGAGAGGAAGGUGGGGGGGAGAGGGGAAGGCAGAAAAAUGAGGAAGCACCAGGUUGACCAAAGGAAUACACCAUGUACUGGGGCAGUGGGUACAGUCAAGCAGCACCAGUGGCACAGAAACCUGCUGAGGGCACAGCUAACAUUUUAUAUGUGUAUGUGCCCAGCCUUGUUUCUUUGCCCUUUCUCUCCAUGGCAGUAACUUCAGUAACUCAGCAACUUCUGUGAAUAUUUAGGUCACAUAGUACAUUUUUAACAUAUUACCUUCUCAGUGUAUGCAUCGUAUGUAUUUUCUGUAUAUAUUACAAAGAGUGGACUGUGUGCUGAAAAAAUAUUAAAAUAUUUUCAUAAAGCAUCUGGAUGACAGAAUGGCAAAAGGAAUGCUUCGUAGAGCUGUUGCUUCCACAUGCUGAUUGUAGCAGUGCUGCAUUUGAACUUGCAGGUGCUUACAUUCAUGCCAUUUUAAAAUCUAUUGGCAUCUGGCAGAGCUGAUUUAGAUAUGUGCCACAAGCACCCCUUGAAUGUUUUCGUAUCAGGAAGGUGGAUGGCUUAAAUGAAUAAAAAUAAAUUCAGUGCUCCAAGCUGAGAUAACCACAGAUUAUAAAUCUUGCAUGAUGGUUUGCCAAAUUCACGUUUGUUUUUUGUAAUUUGUGAGACCAUAGUGACAUUAGUUAAAGAAGUCAAAAGGGCAAGAUUUUUGAUUUUGGAGCCAAGAAUUGUAUUUUUAGUUUUUUGGUUUGUUUGUUUUUUUAAACACAGAGUGAAGUUGCUGGAUUACUUGUAUCUGUUGCUGCUGCUGCUGCAAGGCUUGUUGUUGCUGUUGCAAGCCAGAAGAGAGCUGGAGUCUCUGCUGAGGAAGGCUUUGCCCAGGUCUCGAGAACAAGACUUUAGACGUUUUCAAUGCUUAAAGCCUUUAACACCAAUUACAAGCAGCAGUAGAGCAAAUGCCUUAAGAUUACAGCAUUAAAGCCAACUGAUACUUCCUUUGGUGCAAAGAAAAUUCUGUUGAACUACAGCAGUGAGGAUUGUAAGCCAACUCACAGCAGUAUCCUGAAAUAUAUCUACCCUAAUGGAUGGUGGACAGUCCUGGACUACUCUCCCCCUCCCACCAACUAACCCACGGCAAAUUAAGAAACCAUCAUAAUAAAA
Molecule: long non-coding RNA, 2346 nt
Organism: Pipra filicauda (Wire-tailed manakin)
Lineage: Eukaryota; Metazoa; Chordata; Aves; Passeriformes; Pipridae
Exons: 9
Source: RefSeq, a predicted model, not a curated record